AUGCUAUACCGGUAUUAAAGGGUAGUCGAAUACGGCCUUUACCAGCACUAGUAUUAAUUAACACUUCGACUAUCGAUUGCCUUCUAUUGUUUAUCGCGCGAAAAAGCCGCCGUUUUCUUAAUUUCCUCGUUUACGACCAAUUUAAUUUCUUUUGUUGUGGCUGCUUAAUGAGCCGCACAAUGGAGUCCGUGAAAAGCCACUCAAAGUGCUCUACGACCCUGCAGGAAGGUGUGAACACGGGGCAGACGGCUGUCAAGUUCAAGUUUGGCUGAGAAUUGUUUUGGGCAGAUUCGUAUCGGGCCACCACCGCCAGCCACAAGGCAGUAGCUUCGCAGCCGCAGCCCGCACCAUCAUCAUCAUCUACUGCUUGUGGAGGUUCUAUGUUGUUUUUAGUUUUCAAUUGCUCGCUUCACGCCAUGCAACGCUAACGGCCUUGCUAAACAAUAGAUUCAGCCGCCAGUCGCUGUCGUCGGUUGCUGCCUUCGCCGUCUGUGCCUCCUGCACUUUUGCCUCCGCCUCCACCUCCGCCUCUGCUACUGCCUGCUACCUGUGUAUCUCUGCCACUAUGCGGCUGCUACUUUUAUCAAUUGACAGGCGUCGGCGGCGUCACAAUAAGCAGCACAUGCACUCAACUGAGGGAACAGCAGCCCCGGCGAUGCAACAAUUAAAGGCGUGCGAGUAAAGAUGUGCGAAACCGAUGUGGGGAUGCUGAUGUAGAUGAUGAUGCGGCUGCUGAACGGCUCCCAUGACAUUGAGCGGCGCGCCGUGUGUGCCAGGCCCCGGGAACGACUACAAUGAGCAAUUUUUCGAAGCCAAGCGGUUGGAUGGAUGGUUGGAUGGAUGGCUCGCUCGCUCGAAUGCUUGUUAACAGCCACAAUGACAACGGCAGACAGAUGACGACGUUGCACGUCAACGCUCAAGUGCAUCCGUUAUAACUGUCAAUGGGCAUUAACUCUUGUGGCGCACUGUGUCGCCGCUCUCUGCUCUGCUGUUGUUUUCGGCAAUAGGUCCAGUGGACAAAGAUCUAAUCAAUUUUUGUCUGAACUCGACAGCGGCUGCGACCACCUUGAUGUUCAUGUCCCGAACCCGACAACAGCGACGACGACGACGUCGACGUCGACGACUUGAGGCCAAUUUACUUUACUUUUCAUUCAUGUUGUACUACGGCGGGUACUACGGCAGUGGGAAUAACCCAGAAGGAAAAGAAUAAGAGAAAAAACUCUGCAGUUGCAGUUGCAGUUGCAGUUUGCAGUUUGUGGCAAAGCGAAAGACUCUGGCAGCGAACUUGCGGCACUCACUCUUCUGGAAAAGCUCAAAACGAUAUGGAGGGAGAGAUUCUUUUCCACAGAAGUGGAACCUCAAACGAAAGACUGUGGCAACGAACUUGUCGGAGAACAUUUUCGGGAAAAGUCUAACAAGGAAAAGGAACGUUUUCUUGGGACUUGUGAAGGAUUAGCGAAUCUUGCAGUUCUUUAAACGUACGGAAGACAGGGAGUGUCACAGAAGUUCCACUGUUCUAAUCCACACCUUUUCCACGAUCGUAUUCGUUCAGCCAAGAAGUCAAAGAACUACAACAGCAUUUAGUUGAUGAUGGGACUUGAAGAGCUUGUGGAUUUCUUGCUGACGCACCGGCAUCAUCUCCAUCAUCAUCACCAUGAUCUCUGACGAAGAGGCACAUCAAUCAAAUGCCUCAUUGUACAUUGUUUUUACACAUUUCGACUACAAGGGCCGUCACUUGAACUUGACAUUUGGUGUAAGUGACUAUUAGGGGAAGUGCCAUGAGAAGGUUCUUCUUCUCGUUCCGAGUCCAGCCCAGAGUCAGAGUCAGAGUCAGUGUCGGAGUCAGAGCCAAGCCUUUGGCAAUUAGCCGUGAAUAUCAAUCAGCGCACCAUUUGAGUGGAAAAACCGCUCAGCUUUUAAUUACACAAAAAGCUCUUUGUGCUGUGCUGUGUGUGGGACUGAGAGUGGCUCGAAGGCCUCCCAUGUCCCCGCCCACGGUCACCACAACGCCUCUGCAACACACACCCGACUCAAUCUUGGAUGUCGAUGGCGAUGUGGCUCUGGCUGUCGAUGUUUGUUACCAAGUCGCUUGUUAGAAUCUCACUUUUUCUCUCUUUCUCAUACAUAUAUGCAAAGCGGGCUUGUUGUUGGUCUCGGUCUUAGCCCCGGCUUGCGGGUAAUAAGCCAAUUGGCGUUGGCCACACUGCUCGUACAUUUUAAUCAAGCCAACAGAGUUGUAAAGCCCACGCACCAUCCAAGCCAAAUAUGUUCCGAGGUGUCGCCAAAGCUGUGAGAUGGCGGCAGCUGUCGACCUUCGCGGCGUUGACUCAUGGCCUGUCCCUGUCCAUAACCGACAAACUAGCUAGAACCGGAGCUGAUGAAAUUGAGGAGGCUUUUUAAGAAUACUUGGGGCGGAAAACCCGAAAGGCAAUGACCAAAGAUCAUGCAGUGCUAAAACUAGAAUUUCUUGGCCAGAAUUUGGUUAAAAGUUUUGCUGAAUCUUCUAGGUUUCUAGUCGUCUUGAAUUGUCAUAAUAUUCUCCACGCUUCUUUAAUGCUUCUUGCUAAUACUUUUUUCAGCCGCCAUUCAGGCGGACGGACAAAUCAAACACCGAUAGUUCCUUCCAUUUUGAGGAAACCAGAAGUGACUGUCGAGCUUAAUUAACAGAAGUGCCUAGUCCGACAACGACUCGUACUUCUAUGGCUACUGUUGACUAUAUCACUUACUGCGGUGGCUGGCUGAGGCCUGAGGGGUGUCUGGCCACUGGCCACUGGGCACUGGGCACCGGCCACCGGUUGCCGGUUGCUGGUUGCCAAUUCGAUUAGGCCACGCAAAUGUAAUUUAAUAAAUGCGGUUGCCCAUGUUGAUUAGCAUGUGCGGUUUUAGCAAUUUACGAGUAGUGGCACGCAUCCGCGCAUCCACAGGAUAUGAGCUGGCACUACGACAAUGACAGGAUGCGUCAGUGCUCUUUGAAGUCAAGGCGAACUCCAAGCUGAACUCCGCACCGAACUCUCCACCGCUGGUCUGGAGACAGGGGAAAUGUUUAUGGUUAUGUGCUCGCCUGCGGUGGCAGCUUCAAACGCUUGGUGAUUGAAUUUUAAAUUGUGGCUGUACGUGCAGCAGGCUCCCCAUGCUCUCUGCUGUGGCAAGAUUAAUUUAAAUGAAGUUAUUAGCCAGCCCGAUUGUGCAUUGACAGGGCGCAAACAAAAGACCUAGGCUCCAGCUUCAGCUUCAGCGCCAGCGCCAGCCCCUGCUCCAGGUCCAACUCCUACUCCGACUGCAGCUUAAGGUGCCCUGAUAUGGGGAUAUGGGAUAUACAAUAUGCAUGUCUACAACGGGUUUUCGUCUGGCACAUUGUUGUACAAGUGCCCGCAGUAGUAGUUGUUGCUCUGCAUUUGAAAGUUAAAUUACGGUAGCGAUAUCGGAGCAGACAUUCCGUUAAUUGGCCGCACAACAGGCGGAGACCUGGCUGCGGCUAGUAGCUGUCGUUGGUCUUCAGGAAGAGAUGUUGGUGUUCUGGAUACUCUUUUUUUUUACAGGAAUUAAAGAAUUUUUGGAGUUUUGCUACCAGAGAUCUCUAGAGCGAGGGGCUAUAGGAGGAACAUUUUAGAAUCAAGCCUUAAGAUAUUCGGGGGACUAUUUUCUUAUGGGAUGUAUGGGAUGUUGCAAGAGGGAUGAAGAAGAGUAGGUUUUGUUGUACUACAGGGACUGUCUCUAACAAUUUUGUAAGAUUUUAGAACAUUUUUAGCAGUCGUUUUUGUACACCCAGCUUUUGUCGUUUUUUCAAAUAGGAGAAGAACUUUCCACGGAAGUUUGAAGUGGAUUUUAAUUCCUCCUUUUUGUGUUGAUUAUUCCGAUUAUUCGUACAUAUAGAAUCAAAGGUUUGGGUCAGAAAAAAUAUGCUCGAAACCGAGAAGUUUAUACAUUUGUGCUGUUUGUUGAUUAAUUUUUGGAACAAAUAGAACUGUGUACAUAUGUGCAUGUAUGGUAUUAAUUGUUAUAGAUUGAAACUGUAUUCCAUUUAGCUACUUUUUUGUGUAUCUUUUUGUAAGUGCAACCAAUCUUCGCUGUGCCCCAGCAGCAUUACCUUCUGUGUCUGUUUUUUUUUUUCUUAUUUUGGCUUUACAGUUGCUACGAAAAUUGUUGCAAAUUGCAGUUUAAAAAGUUUCCGUGUUGGUUGUUGCGCGGCACCAACGUUGUUGGUGGCGGCAGCGGCAGCGGCAGAGGCAGCGCCAGAGUCUGCGACUCGACGGCGACUGCAACUAAUAUGAGUCAUAAAUUUAAAGGCUUAACUCGAGAUGGAGGCUGUGCCGUUGACAGGGAUUUUUUAAAUGAAAUAAAUAAACGGCAUUACAGCUAGUUAUAUGCAGCGAGAUCAGGGUCUUGUGCGGCAUAAACCACGGCAACAACUACAGCAACAGCGACAUCUGUGCGACAGAGUGUUGGUGGCGGCACUCGAAUGUUGAACUGUAUCUGAAUCGGAACUCACUCGUAACUGGGCUGGGCCAAAGUCGUCUGGUUACUUUUGCAUUUGGUUGCAUGCUGCCCCGUCUCUGCAUGAGACGAAGCCAUUUUAUUGAUACAGAUACUCGUAGAGGCCAAAAUUUGGGGUCCACUAAAACCAAAGAGCCGCUUGAUGUCUGCUGUUUUUUUUGGCAGUUCCUUUGCCACGGACCCGCAGCAUGACAUCAUUUUGAGUUACUCCGAAUCCGAAGCCGAAUCCCAAUUCAGGUCUUUUGUGGCUGCAGCAGCCCUACACAGCGAAAAAACUGGUCGCCGUUUUACUUUCGCUUUUGUGUUGAUCUUUUGCUGACUUCGUUUCGGUUUCUGUGCUGCUGCUUUUUUGGCAGAGAUGUUUCGAUGGUCUCCAUUUUUCUGUUUUUGGGUCAUCCCAAAGAAGUAUCCGCGUAUAUGGCAAUGAAAACGAAACCGAGUUCUGGUGAAAGUAGGUUGGAAAACGCAUAACAAGUGCAAGUCAAAGGAGGACCACAUGGUCGGUGCCGUGGCACGCUGAGCGAUUGUGUCAUGGUUGGAGCCCACGCAUCGCAUCGCAUAGCAUCGCAUCGCCCACAAAGCCACAAAAGCCUCCACAGACUAAUGAUGUUAGACGCUUCGAAGACAGACAACAGGCACAGGUUGGCACUGACUUAGGCCUUAGCUUUUGCUUUAGAUUUGGUUUCGGUUUUGGGUUUCGUCUUCAAGUGAUUUGCUCAUCUGGUUCGGUGCCCACACAGUUUGACUCUUUUUGGCUAUGCGGCAGUCAGAAGAGAUCAAUGCGAAAUGCCUUUUGUGCGAAAAUUAAUUAGAAUUUUGUGGCUUUGGAUAUUAGCUGCUCCGAUGCUUUGGCUGCUCUGAUGCUCUGGCUGGGAAAAGACCUUGAGUGGCAGCUCCAAUCGAACCAAAGUUGCGGUUCAAGAGACUGUGUGGGAUGCAGAAACUAGUUGGGGAUCAGAGCAGCCAAAUGAGUCAGUGUCUCGGCAAACGCUUGGGUCAUCGUAGAUCGUAAUGGCUCUGAUGGAAUGGAGAGAGAAGCCUCGCAACAUGACUUACGAAUUACACAAAAAAGCUUAUAUCAAUCUUCAACCCGGUUGAAAGUAGCCAAAUCUCUUUCCCACGAGUUUCACUUGGCUAUAAAACUUCAGUUUUAUUUGCAUUCAAUAAAGGUUUCAUCGACUAAUGCCGCUUGUUGGCCAAGUCUUUGUUUCCUACUGCAAUAAAUCGCGAAAAGUCUCGAUAAGUUUACCAAGAGUGCUGUAGACUGAAACAAGUUUCUUUCUCAAGUCUUUCGAUCUUGCAAUUAAAAUCUCUCCCUCUUAUAGAGAUAUCUGCAAAAUGUGAAAGAUGUGUCGCCUUAUGCCGGGGCUCUUCUGGGGUUUGGAAGGAGAGUCGCCAGCGAAGCAUUCACUGGGUUUUUUGGGUCCCUUGGCUCAUUUAAUUGUGGCAAUUUCUUUCGCCCACGCAGCGAGUGAGUCAAGCGCUUUGGCUCAUAAUUUAUAGGCAUUAUUAUUGUAAUUUCUCCCAGACGCCGCGGCAGAUCGCACGCAAAACAAUCAGACAUACACGUAAAGUGAAAGUUUUGCACCUUUUGCCGCACAGCAAACAGCUAACAAACGCAUCGGCACUACCAGCUUGAAGAAAACAAAAGUAGUCAGGCAGUCAGUCAGUCAGUCGGUUUGAAAAAAUCAGUUAGCGAGUCAGUCAGUCAGUGCGAUCCCCCAAAGAUGAGCCACGAACUCCAACCAAAGUACUACCUACGACCAGACCAAAGACAAUGGCUUUCAAAUGACUGGCAGCCACUCGUGGCUUUGGCUCCAACCAAAACUGGCGCCGACUGACUGACAAAUGAGAGCUGCAGUAGUCGCCUUUUUCUGACCAAAAAAAAUACAAAUAACAAACCAAAACAAGACACAGCUAGAGCUCUCCUACUGGCAUCGGCACCAUCAAUAAGCCGUGAGCAAUUUUCGGCAAAAGCUGUGGGCAAAGAUUUCGACAAAUUUUCGCAUGCCAAACGUGCGUUUGCCUUGGCCACAAAAAUCACUCUCAAGAGUCAAACAAAUCCCCCAAAAAUCUAGACAAUACAAGAAGCACAACAAAAAACUGGCUUCGAAGCAUUGGAUACCCUUAAAGAUAUAGAUCUAUAUUUAAUGAUUCGUACGGAAACAGAUUAAAGUAAAGCUUCUUCAUAGUCGUAAGAUUAUCUUCAGAGAGAAAAAAACUUGCUUCUCGACAGAUAGGAAUAGAUACAUACUGAAGCUGAAGUUUCAGACAGAUGGCUGUAUAGACUGAAAUCAUAAUUAUAAUACCUCGCUAAUACCCUAGGUUUUUUCUGACCUCAGCUUUAGGGCCCAGCUUCAUUUUUGGUCACCUUCUGGGACACUUGUAGUGCCUUGACAAACUCUUUCUUUGGACAUUCGGACAAAAGUGUGUCAACCCAGCAUUUGAAGCAAUUAUUUGUCAUAUUUUCUAUUUGUGUUUGGGUUCCGUCUUCCACAAAUGAGAUGCAGAGAAAAUAAACAGCAUUAGUGGAGAGCUCAUGACCAAAAAUCCCAGUGACAAGGCGUCUUCGGGCCCGUUUCCAUCUGCGUAUUCAUCUUCUCCAAACUCUCGACUUUGGCUUGGGAUUUUGCACAAAUGAAAGUGAACGUUUCUUUUUGUUGUUUCCACUUUUUAUUUUGUUUUUGUUUUAACACUGCACUGGGGUGGAAAAAACGGAAAUUUGUCAUGUAAAUUUGUGUAUGCCAGCGUUAUUUGUGUCAGUGAUCUCAGGUCUUUUUCAGCUGGAAAAUGGUGUGGGAAUCUUGUGUCUACUUUGCAUUGAGUUGGCGGAGACUCACUCGAUUUCUUGUAAAAGUCUUUACACCUAUUAACUUGUUUUAUGUGGGUUUUUUUCGAAUAUUAGCUAUGGGUUUUUUUAUUGUGUAAUUAAUAAAUUUAAAAAAACUUUUCUUUACUUGUUUGCUUUGAAAUUGCAAUGCAUCAAAUGUUACAAGUACAGGAAAUAUUUAAUUGAAGUCUUCAAAUAUAUAAUUUUUUGCAUUUGUUUAAUUUAAUUUUUAUUCUCUCAAAAUGCAUUAAAUUUUAUUCGCACUUAUCCCCGACUAACUAGCAUCUCAAUCUCUCCUCUCUGCCUCGAUUUUAAUGAUACUAAAAAUGUUUUAUAUGCCACUUAAAAUUUGCACUUAGAAGUAUUCAAAAAAGUCGGGCUCACCAUUUUAUUCAUCAACUGGCGGCCAAAAUCAGUUCAUACUGCCAACAGCUGCCAAACGAAGAUCGACGCCAGCAAAAAGCGUUGGCUUUUUUCUUCUUUUGGCUUGGCUUUUGCUGCCGCAGCAGCUGCCAAAAGCGAUUUGCCGUCAAAAGAAACACACAGAUACACAGGCACACACUGGAUAUAUUUCUUAUUGCUGGGAUCGGGAUCUAACGAUAUUUCACGCUCUUCACGCUCUUCUUGGAACACUUUUGAUUGGUUUGCGCGCGCUUGGUUUUUUGGUAUUUGGAAUUUUCACAGGGUAAAAUUGAAACAAUUAACAGUCGACUGACGCAAACUUUCACUGCAAUUUCAAAUUCAAUAAAUAUUUGUUGCUUAGAUUAUGCGCUCAGGCAGGGGCAGCAGCGGCUGAAGCGGCUGCAGCUGGGUAUCCGCCAACACACAGGUAACACUGUCUCUGUGCAAACACACAGACUGGUACACUCGGUACACACUGUACACACACUUCGUAGGAGACCCGUUGGUAGAGAGAACCGCACCGCACGCGCGCUGAAAACGAACUGAAAUGUGAAAGAGCUUAAAGCCACAGCCGAUCUUCGUCGCGACUUCAAACUUGGCUUAAACUGCGCCUGUGUGUGUGUGUCUUGUGUGAGAGAGUGUUUUCUUUCCCAGUGUUUGUGUGUGUGUUGGCUGUUAGGCAACUUUGCUGCCCACACUCGGCCCAGACGCUCUCGGCCCGCUCUGCUGGUCCAUUUUUGGCCUGGACCGCUCGUCGGCAGCAGACCAGGCAAUAAUUUUUUUCCUCUUUUUUCUUUUUUGUUAUACCCGAGACGCCUUUGCACAAAUAUAAAAAAACCUAUACGAUUUGUGGCUAGCUUUUGAUAUUUUGUUGCUUGUUGGCUACCAGGUUUUCAGCUUGCUUUGACUUUUGAUUGACGUAAUUUUUGCGCUUGAUAUUCAGUUGAAUUUCUUGUAUUUCCACAUUUAACCGUUUUGGUGUCAGGCGCACAUUACACGCCCACCACACCCACACCCACACACAUGCAUAUUUAUAUAUUUAUAUACGCACACUAUACACUGACUAAUUGUGGGCGUGUGUCUGCCUCUUUCUUAAUGUUUUUUAAACAUUUUGUUUCCACAAGAGUUUUGUGAACUUUCGCUGUGGCGCGGCACGGAACUGCUUGGAUCGUGUGGGAGUGCAAACCUAUAUAUAGGGUGUAUAGCCAUUGACUCAUUCCAUUUGCAUGGCUGGCCUGCUUGCUGGUCUUCUGCUAAUUAGCCAGCUUAAACUUUGGUAUUUAAGAGUUUUCCCCACCGAAAACGAAAGACUUAGGCAACGAACCCGAUGACUGACCUUGCGGUGGGGGGCCUGGACUAUAUCAGAUCGCCGUAGAGUGCCCCAUUUAAAGGGUUCCUGGCCCUAUCGACACGCCAAUCUUUAUUGCAAUGAAGUAAUUUCCGCAUGUAAUGGGACAGGCAGCAGGAGUAGCACCAGCACCAGCCCCAGAAUAUCUCCCAUCUUACGGUAACCCUUUUUUUUUCGUUUUUGAGAACGCCCCGCCCCGUUUUGCACAUUAAUUUCUACGCCCCGCAAUUAUUUCAUGCAGCAAAUGAAGUAUGAAGCAACAUUAAGGCAAAACGUGUGCCACAUACCAAAAAUGGAGAUAAAAAAAAACCAAAAAAAUUAACAAGAAUAAUUAAAAAUGCAAGCUUGGGAAUGCCAAUGGAACCACAAAAAAAAACCCAAGAAAAGGAUGAGGCAUGAGGACCCCCUGGUAGAGCGGUUUUUGCAGAGGCAACAAUUGCGGGCGUAUUCGUUUUGGCCAACAGACGAGAGAGAGCCAAAACGCAAAGUGCGGUUAAACUUUUAUUUAAACAAACAUAAAAACCUGCCGUAAUUGCCUAACUGUUAACUGUUGCCUAACCGAUAGUCGAUAGGCACUAACAAAUGUUUUAAUUACCAAUUUUCUUCUUUGAAAGCCAAGUACAGUUUAUUUGGAGAACAUCUCAGAAAAUUGUGGGGAUUGCUUAAUGUCGAAAUAAAAUUUUAUGGCUGCAAUGGGUUAAGGGGCGUGAAAUACGUUUGGGAGCUUGGGAAUUGCAUCAAAAAGUAUAUCCAAAAGGAAUUUUCGAAGAAUAUACUAAUUUAGCUGCCUCUCACUUCAUUUGAUUCAAUCUAUCGCUAUAAAAGUGAGAUCCUGGCAAACUUCAAGACACAGCAGUGUUACCCUCUGCUUGAGAGUGCAUUCACAUCCAAAUCAAGCAAACUGCAACAGCUGCCACAGAGGCAAGCAACAAGUGCGGCUAAUUUCAUGCAACUCUUAUGUCUGGUCGGCCACAGGAGGGGCACAGACUGAGAGACGUCCCACACGCGUCGUCUACACUUGGCAUAUUUAACACAUUUAAUGAAAAAUCAACAAAACAUCAGUAUUUAUGAUGGGCCAGGCGAUUCGACUGGGACUUGGAGUUGGUCUAGGGACUGCCCCCAUUGUUGCCUCAGCAUCGAGGCGCCACAUUGCCAUCCGCUGGUCCGCCGGUCCGCUGCUCCGAUAGUUGUGGCUUUAUUAAGUUGCUGUUGUUGUGGCCGGGGCCCGGACCUGCCCAAAGUUGUCUGUUUUUAUUAAUAAGUCAUAUUUUUAUAUGGUUCAACCGAGAAGGCAGCCCCAGAAGCGGCAGCAAAGGUCCGAUAAUUUAUGUUGUUUGCUCGGGCUUCGAGGAGGAUGACAAAAGUUGCAGCCGGACCAAGGGCAACCAGCGGCAGCCAUCCAGCCAGCCAGCAAGCUAUGUGGGCUUAUUCAUAAGUCACUUACACACUCAUUCACUCACUCACUCGGGAGCACUCAUUCAUUCAUAAACAACCCAAGCAAAAGCUCAAAACUCGAAGCUCAUUUUGUGAUUAAUUAAAUGCAACUUUGCCUCGCUUUGUAUGCUCUUAAAGGGAGUAUUAUGAUUGUGACAAGACGUUUGCAAAGCAAAGGAGAUCGGUACAAGUUAAUCCAUAUCUCUAUACUUGAUUCUGUGGGACAUAAAGCACUCUUCCAUUUCUUUUUUCUGGCUAACACCUAAUCAUAGCAUAACUUUGAAAGAAAAGGAAAAAUUGCUCUCCAAGAGUAGCAAAGGCGUCGACUUUCCAUCAGCCUUCUUUUCGUGAUUUUUCUUGGUGCUAUUAUAAUUUUUGCUGUUGAAAAAGUGUGCCACUGCAGCAGAGAGACAGAGACAUGCAACAGGUUGCUGUGAUUGGGCGAAAGUUUGUUGCCCAAGCUUUAAGCCGUGGGAUGGUUGAUGGAUGCACUUUGCACCUGGCGAGCCAAAAAGCAACUCAAACGUGGCCGAUUGGCCUCCGGAUAAAGCCAGAAAAAACCCAAAAACUGUGUCAAAGUCCUACUAAUUUGCGGGUUCAUAGUCGUUUUCCAUUUUCGCGAAAAACAUUUGCAAAAAUAUAAUUGCAGAGUGGAAACAAAAAAUUGGCGAAAAUGUCAGAAAUAGUCCAAGCAUUACGCAAUCAUUUAAACAUCUAAUUUCGGUUUCAGUUUUCAGCACAGCACGAACAAAUUACAGGGCGUCAACGAAUUAAGCAAAUAGCAAUAGCCGUAGAGAAUUUUGCAAAUUUUUUGUAUCUUUAUUUUAUCAUGUGUUUUGCCGGCACAGUUUUCACUCUUUUCAAAUUUUAUUCAGCUGUUCAAAUGUUUGAACAUUGCACAAAUGCGAGUGGGAUAGUUCCGUGACCGGAUCGGGGGAACGUACAUACGU
Molecule: long non-coding RNA, 11458 nt
Organism: Drosophila miranda
Lineage: Eukaryota; Metazoa; Arthropoda; Insecta; Diptera; Drosophilidae
Exons: 6
Source: RefSeq, a predicted model, not a curated record